UAGGGAAUUUUCGUCAAUGGGCGCAAGCCUGAACGAGCGAUGCCGCGUGAGUGAAGAAGGCCUUCGGUCGUAAAGCUCUGUUGCGGGGGAAAAAAGGCAUCUGCAGGAAAUGGUAGAUGACAGAUGGUGCCCCGCCAGAAAGUCACGGCUAACUACGUGCC
Molecule: ribosomal RNA, 161 nt
Filed under: uncultured bacterium
Lineage: Bacteria
Description: partial 16S ribosomal RNA
Rfam family: Bacterial small subunit ribosomal RNA
Source: RNAcentral